RNAcentral lists this long non-coding RNA (1569 nucleotides) under Pelobates cultripes (western spadefoot toad). Lineage: Eukaryota; Metazoa; Chordata; Amphibia; Anura; Pelobatidae. The record is from RNAcentral.
ACUCCUGAUCGUUGUGCAUGUCUGAUCUGCAACUACAGGAAACGUAAUCCAUAUCAUUCCAAAGGGUUCACAUAGUUUUUCUUGCAACUGUAUAUACAUACACACACACGUUUGAUUGGGUUAUGUACUGUAUGUUCAUGUUUAUCUUUAAAGGCAUCCAGACCACUUCAGCUCAAUGUAUCAUGCAAUGUAACAUCCAAGUACCUCCAAAGAGUCAGACAGGUCCUGAAGUUCCAGCUCAAUGGCAAAAACAAGAUCCAAGCCAUCAACACAUAUGCCCUACUGGUCAUCUGGUACCCAGCCGAAAUAAUCCGGUAAAGAGAAGAACUGGUCACCAUGGAUGUCAAGACCAGAAAACUACUCACUAUGAAUGGAGCAUUCCACUCAAAAUCCAACACUGAGAUAUUUGUGGCGGAACCAACCUCGCCGCUAUGUACUGGAGAAGCCUGGUUGCUCGCCUGCUGCCUUUAGACUAUGGCCCUUGGGAGACUGAAAACUUAUGGACUUUUAUUGGGUGUGUAUGGCCCUUUAAGACAGUCGGUGGGCAUAUUGGGGCUUAUGUACUGGUGCUGGCCCUUUAAGCACCUUUUUGGGGCAUAGGGAUAAUUGGGACACUGCCCUUUUAAAACGGUGUCCCCAGACUUGUUUGGGACACUGCCCCUUUAUGACAGUGUCCCCUGUGUCCUAGACCUGGUUAAAACCCUUUGUGCCUAGCUAUUUCCCACUUGGUUCAGUAAAUGGGGCUUACUGAACCAAGUACCACACAGGCGGACCACCUGUAUUGGGAGUUUGUCGGCAAUUUACCUCCCAGCAGCUGCGGUUAACCGCAGCUUAAUUGACAAUGCUGGGUGGCCUUUGUUCGUUUGCCGAACACGUGGUGGCGGCCAUCUUUGAUCAUUCGCACGAGGUCAGCGGUAUGUGUAGCCAAAUUUAUGGAACUAAAAUCGGCUAGACAUUUCCGCGAACACUGCUGAGCCCUACCUUCUCCCACAAUGAUUUUGCAGCCACAGAGACUAAGUCCCAUUUGGCGAUGGGACUUAGUUGUUUUUUCAGUCUGAAAUAGUUUGACCGCACAGCCCAAAUCUAUGGAACUGUUUUGGGCAGGAAAAUGUGCUUGCGGUCGGUCAUAAAGGGACCUCCAGCUAACUUUUUAACCCCUGGAUGGAUUUGGCUGAUUUUUGGUUACCGUAUAUACUCGAGUAUAAGCCGACCCAAAUAUAAGCCGAGGCCCCUAAUUUUACCACAAAAAACUUAUUGGGAAAACUUAUUGACUCGAGUAUAAGCCUAGGGUGGGAAAUGCAGCAGCUACUGGUAAAUUUCUAAAUACAAUUAGAUCCCAAUAAAAUUACAUUAAUUGAAUAUUUAUUUACAGUGUGUGUAUAGAAUGAAUGCAGAGUGUGUGUUUGUGUGUGUAUAUAAUGAAUGCAGUGUGUGGUUGUGUGUAUAUAAUGAAUGCAGAGUGUGUGUUUGUGUGUUGUGUGUGUAUAUAAUGAAUGCAGUGUCUCUUGCGCUGUAAGCAGAACGGAGCUGACAGAGGAGCUGCACGGAGGAGAAGGGAGCUGACCGGAG